GACGAACGCUGGCGGCGUGCUUAACACAUGCAAGUCGAACGGACAGGCCCUGCUUUUGUGGGGUUCUCGAUUGGCGAACGGGUGAGUAACACGCGAGUAACCUCCCCUUGUCUUUGGGAUAACUUUAGGAAACUGGGGCUAAUACCGGAUAUGAGCUCCUGCUGCACGGUGGUGGAUGGAAAGUUUCGGCGGUGCGGGAUGGACUCGCGGCUUAUCAGCUUGUUGGUGGGGUAGUGGCUUACCAAGGUUUUGACGGGUAGCCGGCCUGAGAGGGUGACCGGCGACAUGGGGACUGAGAUACGGACCAGACUCCUACGGGAGGCAGCAGUGGGGAAUAUUGCACAAUGGGCGGAAGCCUGAUGCAGCAACGCCGCGUGCGGGAUGACGGCCUUCGGGUUGUAAACCGCUUUCGACUGUGACGAAGCGUGAGUGACGGUAAUGGGUAAAGAAGCAACGGCUAACUACGUG
This 468-nucleotide ribosomal RNA is filed under the name uncultured bacterium. RNAcentral describes it as "partial 16S ribosomal RNA". It matches the Rfam family "Bacterial small subunit ribosomal RNA", at positions 28 to 507 of the family's 1533-position model. The record is from RNAcentral.